RNAcentral lists this transfer RNA (89 nucleotides) under Spirochaetales bacterium. RNAcentral's name for it is "tRNA-Ser". It matches the Rfam family "tRNA". From Rfam's summary of the family: Transfer RNA (tRNA) molecules are approximately 80 nucleotides in length. Their secondary structure includes four short double-helical elements and three loops (D, anti-codon, and T loops). Further hydrogen bonds mediate the characteristic L-shaped molecular structure. tRNAs have two regions of fundamental functional importance: the anti-codon, which is responsible for specific mRNA codon recognition, and the 3' end, to which the tRNAs corresponding amino acid is attached (by aminoacyl-tRNA synthetases). tRNAs cope with the degeneracy of the genetic code in two manners: having more than one tRNA (with a specific anti-codon) for a particular amino acid; and 'wobble' base-pairing, i.e. permitting non-standard base-pairing at the 3rd anti-codon position. Lineage: Bacteria; Pseudomonadati; Spirochaetota; Spirochaetia; Spirochaetales. The record is from RNAcentral. RNAcentral also lists the same sequence under 1 other name.
GGAGAGGUGCGAGAGUGGUCGAAUCGGGCUCCCUGCUAAGGAGUUGAUCGGCUUACCCCGAUCCAAGGGUUCGAAUCCCUUCCUCUCCG